Molecule: ribosomal RNA, 408 nt
Filed under: uncultured bacterium
Lineage: Bacteria
Description: partial 16S ribosomal RNA
Rfam family: Bacterial small subunit ribosomal RNA
Source: RNAcentral
GACGAACGCUGGCGGCGUGCUUAACACAUGCAAGUCGAACGGAGUGGCGAACGGGUGAGUAACACGUGGGUGACCUGCCCUGCACUUCGGGAUAAGCCUGGGAAACUGGGUCUAAUACCGGAUAGUGUGGGAUGGGCGCGCGGCCUAUCAGCUGGGUGGUGGGGUAAUGGCCUACCAAGGCGGCGACGGGUAGCCGGCCUGAGAGGGGGGACGGCCACAUUGGGACUAAGAGAGGGACCAGAAGCCUACGGGAGGCAGCAGUGGAGAAUAUUGCGCAGUGGGGGGAAGCGUGAUGCAGCGACGCCGGGUGGGGGAUGACGGCCUUCGGGUUGUAAACUCCUUUCACCAUAGACGCGGUAGAUGGAGAAGAAGCACCGGCUAACUACGUGCCAGCAGCCGCGGUAAUAC